AGACACAGGGCUCACCUGCAAACACAGCCACGUAGCAAUGAGACUGCUUUCCCUGGCUCUAGAGAUGGUUUCUGAAGAGACUACGUGGGCAACACUGUUGUAUGGAGUGCCUGAGGUGAAGCCUGUGAAGUGCUGGAGGGACCAGCUGGUGGAGGAAUUCAGUGGUCAUUUGCUGGCUUCUGUGGACCGUUAGCGGGGAAACCAGCCUACCUGAAGAAGGAGAGCGGAGGAAGGAGCUGAGGCAGAGCUUGGUGUCUCUGAGCCUUGGUUUUCCCGGAAGUCCCGCCCCCUCACAGAGAGACACUGUAAAGGCAUGGAGAGCUUCGUGGAGUUGGAAAAGGUCUCUCCAGACGACUGACUCAGGGUCUCCCUGGCUGUGACUGCGAUCCCUCAUACCUCCCUUCCUGGUGGAGUCUGGAAUGUUCUGCUGACUGAGAGGACGUGGCAAGAAGAAAACUGUUCUGCAGAUUGAUCUGACCUCUGGCUCUCUCUGGGCCAUUUCACUCAUCUCCCUGUGACCGACCUUCUGAGCUCCAGCUGAGGAGAGCCAGUACCAUGUUAGCUCUCGUGCUUUCUGUCGCUCCCUGGCUCAAGAACUCUUGUCUGAAUUGGAUUGUUUUCUUCUCAGCUCUGGAACGCUUCUCUCCUUUGGGCUUUCUUGACUGGGAGAGGGAAGCCCUAGUUCCUGAGAAAACACCGGGGACUUUUUACCUCUGGUUUUUCUCCUUUCUCUGAGAAUGGGUCCUGUCACAGAAUAUAUCGUCCACAAAGUCGGAUGGCGAGCGACACCCAGUGAGGAAAUGCCUAUCCGUGCAUCGUGGAAACUGAGAAGAGAAAAGGCAAAAGCUGAGGGAAGUCUCUGUAAACACAUGCACAGUGAGUUCCAGGAAAUGCUUUAUUGCUUUUGUUUUGUUUGAUAGCUUUCAUCCUAACACACUAGUUCUCCACACCAGUUUUCCAGACACAUGGAUCACACAAGGAAGCUAGGAUUCAUCGCUAAGCCAAAAAAGCCAAAAACGGGACAUGGUGCUAUUGUCCUCUGAGUGAGAAAGAGGCCACAGUGUGAGAGAGUAGAACUGACAUUCUUUUUAAUAGUUUCAACAUCUUGCUGAGUGACUAAUAUUUUCACUGGUCCCUGCCACCUGUUCAUUGCAAACUUUUGGAUAAAGGUACUCUAAAAAUUUCCAUACCUCGAACAUAAAGCAUCUUUCCACUAUAAAACUUUCCUAGCUUUCUACCUUCAUGUAGUCAGUGUCAAAAUUUUCCAGAUUUUAAUCUCUUUUGCCAUCUGUAAAUAAUUCCUGUGGGGUAUACUUUGAAUUGCUUUUAUUUUUUUUCUGAUGGCUUUUCCCUUAA
Molecule: long non-coding RNA, 1356 nt
Organism: Microtus ochrogaster (prairie vole)
Lineage: Eukaryota; Metazoa; Chordata; Mammalia; Rodentia; Cricetidae
Exons: 3
Source: RefSeq, a predicted model, not a curated record